AUUGAACGCUGGCGGAAUGCUUUACACAUGCAAGUCGAGCGGCAGCGCGGGGGCAACCCUGGCGGCGAGCGGCGAACGGGUGAGUAACAUAUCGGAACGUACCCUGUCGUGGGGGAUAACUAUCCGAAAGGAUAGCUAAUACCGCAUACGACCUGAGGGUGAAAGCGGGGGAUCGCAAGACCUCGCGCGAUAGGAGCGGCCGAUAUCGGAUUAGCUAGUUGGUGGGGUAAAGGCUCACCAAGGCGACGAUCCGUAGCUGGUCUGAGAGGACGACCAGCCACACUGGAACUGAGACACGGUCCAGACUCCUACGGGAGGCAGCAGAGGGGAAUUUUGGACAAUGGGGGCGAACCCUGAUCCACGCCAUUCCGUCCGUGAGUGAAGAAGG
Molecule: ribosomal RNA, 388 nt
Filed under: uncultured bacterium
Lineage: Bacteria
Description: bacterial SSU rRNA
Rfam family: Bacterial small subunit ribosomal RNA
Source: RNAcentral